CACUGUCACUCCUACGGGGAGGCAGCAGUGGGGGAAUAUUGCACAAUGGGCGCAAGCCUGAUGCAGCCAUGCCGCGUGUGUGAAGAAGGCCUUCGGGUUGUAAAGCACUUUCAGUUGUGAGGAAGGUGGUGUUGUGAAUAGCAGCAUCAUUUGACGUUAGCAACAGAAGAAGCACCGGCUAACUCCGUGCCAGCAGCCGCGGUAAUACGGAGGGUGCGAGCGUUAAUCGGAAUUACUGGGCGUAAAGCGCAUGCAGGUGGUUUGUUAAGUCAGAUGUGAAAGACCCCGGGCUCAACCUGGGAAUUGCAUUUGUAAACUGGCAAACUAGAGUACUGUAGAGGGGGGUAGGAAUUUCAGGUGUAGCGGUGAAAUGCGUAGAGAUCUGAAGGAAUACCGGUGGCGAAGGCGGCCCCCUCGGACAGAUACUGACACUCAGAUGCGAAAGCGUGGGGAGCAAACAGGAUUAGAUACCCUGGUAG
Molecule: ribosomal RNA, 479 nt
Filed under: uncultured bacterium
Lineage: Bacteria
Description: bacterial SSU rRNA
Rfam family: Bacterial small subunit ribosomal RNA
Source: RNAcentral